ACCCGCUGAAUUUAAGCAUAUAAGUAAGCGGAGGAUAAGAAACUAAAUAGGAUUCCCUCAGUAAUGGCGAAUGAACAGGGAUCAGCUCAGCAUGGAAAUUGGGGCCCUCGGCCUUGAAUUGUAGUCUCGAGAUGCAUCGCCAAUGGAGGCGCAGAUGUAAGCCUCUUGGAAAAGAGCAUCAACGAGGGUGAGAGUCCCGUUUGUCAUCUGCAGUCCCCCAUGCACGGCGUGCCUUCUAAGAGUCGCGUUCCUCGGAAUUGGAGCGUNAAUUGGGUGGUAAAUUUCAUCUCAAGCUAAAUAUUGGUUCGAGACCGAUAGCAAACAAGUACCAUGAGGGAAAGGUGAAAAGGACUUUGAAAAGAGAGUUAAAAGUGCCUGAAAUUGCUGAAAGGGAAGCGAAUGGAACCAGUGUUGCUUGGCGAGAUUGUCGUACGCAUUCGCGUGUGGUGGUUCUUGCCUUGUGUGUCAACGCCAGUUCGCGAUCGAGGAAAACUCCAGGGACAUGGUNGCCUACCCCNGGGUGGGUGAAUGUGCNUGGUAGAACUCAUUUGCGGACUGUUNCCUUCGUGUCUGGUUGCAGUGCUGCUUGAUCNUGUGUUGGCGCUUGGGGGUGGGAGCUCGCUCCUCACACCCUGCCCUUCUAAGGUUCUCAGCNCUUCCCUGACACAUAGACGAUGACUAAAUGGUUCUAUUCGACCCGUCUUGAAACACGGACCAAGGAGUCUAACAUAUGUGCGAGUCCACGGGUGGUAAACCUGCUGGCGCAGUGAAAGCGACUGCUGGGAUUUUUGCACCAGCAACCGACCAAUCAAUUGAGAGAGGUUUGAGUAUGAGCAUAUCUGUUAGGACCCGAAAGAUGGUGAACUAUGCCUGAGAAGGGCAAACUCAGGGGAAACUCUGAUGGAGGCUCGUAGCGAUACUGACGUGCAAAUCGUUCGUCAUACUUGGGUAUAGGGGCGAAAGACUAAUCGAACCAUCUAGUAGCUGGUUCCCUCCGAGUAGCUGGUUCCCUCCGA
RNAcentral lists this ribosomal RNA (1016 nucleotides) under Prorocentrum micans. RNAcentral's name for it is "LSU rRNA". It matches the Rfam family "Eukaryotic large subunit ribosomal RNA", at positions 23 to 995 of the family's 3401-position model. Lineage: Eukaryota; Dinophyceae; Prorocentrales; Prorocentraceae. The record is from RNAcentral.